Molecule: non-coding RNA, 27 nt
Filed under: Rattus norvegicus (Norway rat)
Lineage: Eukaryota; Metazoa; Chordata; Mammalia; Rodentia; Muridae
Source: RNAcentral
UGGGAACGGUCUUCUUCUUCAAGUAGU